This 72-nucleotide transfer RNA is filed under the name Phylloporus brunneiceps. RNAcentral describes it as "tRNA-Glu". It matches the Rfam family "tRNA". Rfam says of the family: Transfer RNA (tRNA) molecules are approximately 80 nucleotides in length. RNAcentral also lists the same sequence under 4 other names. Lineage: Eukaryota; Fungi; Basidiomycota; Agaricomycetes; Boletales; Boletaceae. The record is from RNAcentral.
GGUCUUUUAGUAUAAUGGUUAGUACAUUAUCCCUUCACGAUAAUAGUACCAGUUCGAAUCUGGUAAAGACUA